GGAAUUCAUUUUCUAUGUUAAAAUAUUUUUAUUUUGUUAGUUUUUAUUCUAUUAGGAAAAUAACAUGUAUUUUUUUCGUGUUAUUAUUAUUCGUAGGAUUACGUAAUUUGAUAUUUUUUUUCUACUUAUUUUUUUAUGGGAGUGGGAAAAAGUAAUCAACACAAAUGCAAAAAAGGUCAUAUUAUUAUGAUGUUGUCACUUAUAUAGUCAAACUUCGAACAAAACUUCAAAAGGUCAAACUUCACUCUGACUUUUGAAUCCUUUCUAGCCACAUGCAAGAUAAAGAGUUAUGCUAUCCAUAACGUGGACAGUUUUGAAAAUGUUAUGUAACAUAUUCUCAGAAUCACGAAACAAAAUUGACCAAUCUUUUUAGUCGUUUUAGAGGACGGCUUCUCAAUUGAGAUGCAAGAACAACGUCCAAGCGAUUAGUUUUACGUAUACGAUAAGGUUUCGAAGCCAACUGCUCAGCUGUUUUGGCGCCAAACUCAACGCGGUCACUUGAGACGCUAUAGCCACUACUAGUGUUUACAAUAGUCGAGGUAUCAUUGGCGGUUUAUGUUACGGGUUGCUAGAUAAACAAGCUUUGUUAUUGUAAAUGAGUUUUAUGAUUGAUUCGUGCUGUGAUAUCGCCGCUCUUUCAGAUUUGUACGAGUGACUACUUUGCUAAACGCGCCAAAAUAAAAAUAUUGCAAUUGAA
This is a long non-coding RNA of Leptidea sinapis, 697 nucleotides long. RefSeq lists it as uncharacterized. The transcript is spliced from 2 exons. The record is from RefSeq and is a predicted model, not a curated record. NCBI's taxonomy places the organism in Eukaryota, Metazoa, Arthropoda, Insecta, Lepidoptera, Pieridae.